UACGUAGGGUGCGAGCGUUGUCCGGAAUUACUGGGCGUAAAGGGCUCGUAGGCGGCCAACUAAGUCGGACGUGAAAUCCCCAGGCUCAACCUGGGAACUGCGUCCGAUACUGGAUGGCUUGAAUUCGGGAGAGGGAUGCAGAAUUCCAGGUGUAGCGGUGAAAUGCGUAGAUAUCUGGAGGAAUACCGGUGGCGAAGGCGGCAUCCUGGACCGACAUUGACGCUGAUGAGCGAAAGCUAGGGAGCAAACGGG
RNAcentral lists this ribosomal RNA (252 nucleotides) under uncultured bacterium. RNAcentral's name for it is "partial 16S ribosomal RNA". It matches the Rfam family "Bacterial small subunit ribosomal RNA", at positions 524 to 776 of the family's 1533-position model. The record is from RNAcentral.